Pelobates cultripes (western spadefoot toad) is the source of this 239-nucleotide non-coding RNA. NCBI's taxonomy places the organism in Eukaryota, Metazoa, Chordata, Amphibia, Anura, Pelobatidae. The record is from the annotation of a GenBank genome assembly.
UCACCAAGCUCGUCAUGCUAGAGCAUUUUCAAUGUGCUCCCCAACGAGAAGGCGACGACGCAUUUAUAUGUCAAUCCAUAUCAACUUUCGAUGCCAUUGACUGCGCCUACCAUGGUGACCAUGGGUAAUGGGGAAUCAGGGUUCGAUUCCAUACAGGGACCCUGACAAAUGGCUACCACAUGCAAGGAAGGCAGCAGGCAUGCAAAUGACCCGCUCCCGACGCGGGAAGGUAAUGACGA